Molecule: small nuclear RNA, 161 nt
Filed under: Trifolium pratense (red clover)
Lineage: Eukaryota; Viridiplantae; Streptophyta; Magnoliopsida; Fabales; Fabaceae
Description: snRNA U1
Rfam family: U1 spliceosomal RNA
About the family: U1 is a small nuclear RNA (snRNA) component of the spliceosome (involved in pre-mRNA splicing). Its 5' end forms complementary base pairs with the 5' splice junction, thus defining the 5' donor site of an intron. There are significant differences in sequence and secondary structure between metazoan and yeast U1 snRNAs, the latter being much longer (568 nucleotides as compared to 164 nucleotides in human).
Source: RNAcentral
UUACUUACCUGGAUGGGGUCAAUGGGUGAUCAUGAAGGCCCAUGGCCUAGGCAAGUGACCUCCAUUGCACUUAGGAGGGGCGCUAGCCUAAGGUCUACCCAAGUGGUGGAGCCUACAUCAUAAUUUGUUGCAGUGGGGGCCUGCGUUCGCGCGGCCCCUCC